RNAcentral lists this ribosomal RNA (111 nucleotides) under Caerostris darwini. Lineage: Eukaryota; Metazoa; Arthropoda; Arachnida; Araneae; Araneidae. The record is from RNAcentral.
ACGGCCGUACCACGCUGAAUAUACCGGCUCUCGUUAGAUCACCGAAGUCAAGCAUCAUUGGGCGCGGUCAGUACUUGGGUGGGUGACCACCUGGGAACACCGCGUGCCGUU